RNAcentral lists this ribosomal RNA (742 nucleotides) under uncultured bacterium. RNAcentral's name for it is "bacterial SSU rRNA". It matches the Rfam family "Bacterial small subunit ribosomal RNA", at positions 8 to 796 of the family's 1533-position model. The record is from RNAcentral.
AGAGUUUGAUCAUGGCUCAGAGCGAACGCUGGCGGCAGGCUUAACACAUGCAAGUCGAACGGGCCCUUCGGGGUCAGUGGCAGACGGGUGAGUAACACGUGGGAACGUGCCCUUCGGUUCGGAACAACUCAGGGAAACUUGAGCUAAUACCGGAUACGCCCUUCGGGGGAAAGAUUUAUCGCUGAAGGAUCGGCCCGCGUCUGAUUAGCUAGUUGGUGAGGUAAUGGCUCACCAAGGCGACGAUCAGUAGCUGGUCUGAGAGGAUGAUCAGCCACACUGGGACUGAGACACGGCCCAGACUCCUACGGGAGGCAGCAGUGGGGAAUAUUGGACAAUGGGCGCAAGCCUGAUCCAGCCAUGCCGCGUGAGUGAUGAAGGCCUUAGGGUUGUAAAGCUCUUUCGUCCGGGACGAUAAUGACGGUACCGGAAGAAGAAGCCCCGGCUAACUUCGUGCCAGCAGCCGCGGUAAUACGAAGGGGGCUAGCGUUGCUCGGAAUCACUGGGCGUAAAGGGCGCGUAGGCGGCCAUUCAAGUCAGAGGUGAAAGCCCAAGGCUCAACCUUGGAAUUGCCUUUGAUACUGUUUGGCUUGAGACCGGAAGAGGUAAGUGGAACUGCGAGUGUAGAGGUGAAAUUCGUAGAUAUUCGCAAGAACACCAGUGGCGAAGGCGGCUUACUGGUCCGGUUCUGACGCUGAGGCGCGAAAGCGUGGGGAGCAAACAGGAUUAGAUACCCUUGUAGUCC